Molecule: ribosomal RNA, 515 nt
Filed under: uncultured bacterium
Lineage: Bacteria
Description: partial 16S ribosomal RNA
Rfam family: Bacterial small subunit ribosomal RNA
Source: RNAcentral
AAUGAACGCUGGCGGCGUGCCUAAUACAUGCAAGUCGAGCGAAUGGAUUAAGAGCUUGCUCUUAUGAAGUUAGCGGCAGACGGGUGAGUAACACGUGGGUAACCUGCCCAUAAGACUGGGAUAACUCCGGGAAACCGGGGCUAAUACCGGAUAACAUUUUGAACCGCAUGGUUCGAAAUUGAAAGGCGGCUUCGGCUGUCACUUAUGGAUGGACCCGCGUCGCAUUAGCUAGUUGGUGAGGUAACGGCUCACCAAGGCAACGAUGCGUAGCCGAUCUGAGAGGGUGAUCGGCCACACUGGGACUGAGACACGGCCCAGACUCCUACGGGAGGCAGCAGUAGGGAAUCUUCCGCAAUGGACGAAAGUCUGACGGAGCAACGCCGCGUGAGUGACGAAGGCUUUCGGGUCGUAAAACUCUGUUGUUAGGGAAGAACAAGUGCUAGUUGAAUAAGCUGGCACCUUGACGGUACCUAACCAGAAAGCCACGGCUAACUACGUGCCAGCCGCCGCGGUAA